UACAGAGGGUGCGAGCGUUGUUCGGAAUUAUUGGGCGUAAAGGGCGCGUAGGCGGCGCGACAAGUCACCUGUGAAAUCUCCGAGCUUAACUCGGAGCCUGCAGGCGAAACUGUCGUGCUGGAGUAUGGGAGAGGUGCGUGGAACUCCGGGUGGAGUGGUGAAAUGCGUAGAGAUCCGGAAGAACACCAAAGGCGAAGGCAGUGUCCUGGCUAGUACCUGACGCUAAGGAGCGAGAGCUAGGGGAGCGAACAGG
This 253-nucleotide ribosomal RNA is filed under the name uncultured prokaryote. Its description in RNAcentral is "partial 16S ribosomal RNA". It matches the Rfam family "Bacterial small subunit ribosomal RNA", at positions 524 to 776 of the family's 1533-position model. The record is from RNAcentral.